RNAcentral lists this ribosomal RNA (253 nucleotides) under uncultured bacterium. RNAcentral's name for it is "partial 16S ribosomal RNA". It matches the Rfam family "Bacterial small subunit ribosomal RNA", at positions 524 to 776 of the family's 1533-position model. The record is from RNAcentral.
UACGUAGGCAGCGAGCGUUGUUCGGAAUUACUGGGCGUAAAGAGUGUGUAGGCGGUGCUCCCAGUCUGUUGUGAAAUCUCCCGGCUUAACUGGGAGGGUACAGCGGAAACUAGAGUGCUAGAGGGUGGGAGAGGUAAGCGGAAUUCCUGGUGUAGCGGUGAAAUGCGUAGAUAUCAGGAGGAACACCUGUGGUGUAGACAGCUUACUGGACCACUUCUGACGCUGAGACACGAAAGCGUGGGUAGCAAACAGG